This 807-nucleotide long non-coding RNA is filed under the name Malus domestica (apple). RNAcentral's name for it is "long non-coding RNA (MDOM_LNC011583)". The record is from RNAcentral. Lineage: Eukaryota; Viridiplantae; Streptophyta; Magnoliopsida; Rosales; Rosaceae.
CGGGUAACUGGUCAGCUUAUAUUACCUGAUAAUAUUAACAUGUCGAUUUCGGGUUGGGUCAUAUUACUCGUUUACCUUAACGGGUAUUACACCCGUUAAGAUAUCUGGUAUGACACGAAAACGACACGAACACAAAAAACACGACACGAAUGUCUGGUCUAAUGUUGGAUAAGUCCUUUGAAUGAGAAUCCUCUCCAUAUCCUCUUAGUGAGGAUUUUAGGGAUCCUCAAAUUAUGUUCGUUCAUUGUACAUCGUGCGGCCAAUUUUCGUCAGGUACUAUUCAUAUUUAGUUUUAAAUAAAAUAUUUAAAAUAAUUUCUAACCGUACGAUGUACGAUGAACAGACACGAUUUGAGGAUCCUCUUAGAAUCCUCACAAAGAGGAUCCGGAAAGAAUCCUCAUUCAAGUCCAUUAACGUACAUUAGAUCAGAUGAGAGGGAACAUAGUAUAGACUUAUAGAUGUUACUUAAUGGCAUAUAGUUGCGAACUUGAUUUGUGAUUAGAUGGUAGCCGGACGUUGUAUCAAAUCUAAUGGUAGUAUAUUAUGUAAGGGUUGGUUUGGAAAAAAAUUAGAAUUUGGUAAAAUAAAAAAAAAAACUUAUUUAAGAAAUUGUUGUCAAUAAUAGUAGAAAAGCAGAAUCAGAGUUUACCAUACUUCUAAAAAAAUGUUUUUUUUUUCAAAACUUAGUGAACAGUACCCGUUUAAUGAAAAUUUUAAAUAACAAGUAUACUUCUGCAUAUUUUACAAAAUUAUAAUAUUUUUCAUUGCAUUAGUCUCUUUGAUAAUUAUUAUAUCACAUUAAAUAAU